AGUGAACGCUGGCGGUAGGCCUAACACAUGCAAGUCGAGCGGGGUGAUGGUGCUUGCACUAUCACUUAGCGGCGGACGGGUGAGUAAUGCUUAGGAAUCUGCCUAUUAGUGGGGGACAACAUCUCGAAAGGGAUGCUAAUACCGCAUACGUCCUACGGGAGAAAGCAGGGGAUCACUUGUGACCUUGCGCUAAUAGAUGAGCCUAAGUCGGAUUAGCUAGUUGGUGGGGUAAAGGCCUACCAAGGCGACGAUCUGUAGCGGGUCUGAGAGGAUGAUCCGCCACACUGGGACUGAGACACGGCCCAGACUCCUACGGGAGGCAGCAGUGGGGAAUAUUGGACAAUGGGGGGAACCCUGAUCCAGCCAUGCCGCGUGUGUGAAGAAGGCCUUAUGGUUGUAAAGCACUUUAAGCGAGGAGGAGGCUCUUUUGGUUAAUACCCAAGAUGAGUGGACGUUACUCGCAGAAUAAGCACCGGCUAACUCUGUGCCAGCAGCCGCCGUAA
RNAcentral lists this ribosomal RNA (503 nucleotides) under uncultured bacterium. RNAcentral's name for it is "partial 16S ribosomal RNA". It matches the Rfam family "Bacterial small subunit ribosomal RNA", at positions 29 to 523 of the family's 1533-position model. The record is from RNAcentral.